This 509-nucleotide ribosomal RNA is filed under the name uncultured glomeraceous AM fungus. RNAcentral describes it as "SSU rRNA". It matches the Rfam family "Eukaryotic small subunit ribosomal RNA", at positions 569 to 1078 of the family's 1831-position model. The record is from RNAcentral. Lineage: Eukaryota; Fungi; Glomeromycota; Glomeromycetes; Glomerales; Glomeraceae.
AGCAGCCGCGGUAAUUCCAGCUCCAAUAGCGUAUAUUAAAGUUGUUGCAGUUAAAAAGCUCGUAGUUGAAUUUCGGGAUCAAUGUUUCGGUCAUGCCCUUGGUAUGUACUGAUAUUAUUGGUUUCUCACCUUCUAAAGAACCGUAAUGCCAUUAAUUUGGUGUCACGGGGAAUUAGGACUGUUACCUUGAAAAAAUUAGAGUGUUUAAAGCAGGCUCACGCUUGAAUACAUUAGCAUGUAAUAAUGAAAUAGGACAUCCGAUUCUAUUUUGUUGGUUUCUAGGAUCGAUGUAAUGAUUAAUAGGGAUAGUUGGGGGCAUUAGUAUUCAAUUGUCAGAGGUGAAAUUCUUGGAUUUAUUGAAGACUAACUACUGCGAAAGCAUUUGCCAAGGAUGUUUUCAUUAAUCAAGAACGAAAGUUAGGGGAUCGAAGACGAUCAGAUACCGUCGUAGUCUUAACCAUAAACUAUGCCGACUAGGGAUCGGAUGAUGUUAAUUUUUUAAUGACUCA